RNAcentral lists this ribosomal RNA (410 nucleotides) under uncultured anaerobic bacterium. Its description in RNAcentral is "bacterial SSU rRNA". It matches the Rfam family "Bacterial small subunit ribosomal RNA", at positions 338 to 795 of the family's 1533-position model. The record is from RNAcentral.
CCUACGGGUGGCAGCAGUAAGGAAUAUUGCGCAAUGGACGAAAGUCUGACGCAGCAACGCCGCGUGAAGGAAGAAGGUUUUCGGAUUGUAAACUUCGUUAUAAGCACCGGCUAACUACGUGCCAGCAGCAGCGGUCAUACGUAGGGUGCAAGCGUUAUUCGGAUUUACUGGGCGUAAAGAGUUAUGUAGGUGGUUUUGUAAGUCAGGGGUUAAAUACCGCAGCUUAACUGCGGCAAGGCUUUUGAUACUGCAUUACUAGAAUUAGUUAGGGGUCAGCAGAACAUAUGGUGUAGUAGUGAAAUGCGUUGAUAUCAUAUGGAAUACCAAGGGGGAAGCCAGCUGACUGGGACUAUAUUGACACUGAGAUACGAAAGCGUGGGGAGCGACACGGAUUAGAUACCCUUGUAGUC